Molecule: long non-coding RNA, 4513 nt
Filed under: Nicotiana benthamiana
Lineage: Eukaryota; Viridiplantae; Streptophyta; Magnoliopsida; Solanales; Solanaceae
Description: long non-coding RNA (NBEN_LNC029422)
Source: RNAcentral
AGGAGAAGUAUGAAGAGAUUAGGGAACACAUAUUGGAACAGCCUUUCUACUGUGAAUCAGCCCGUGAAUGGCGUGCUGGGGUAUCAUGUGAAGAUCCACCUGAUCUUACUCAAGAUGGAAGUAGGCUCUGGGCUAUUGAUAAGCCUAAUAUUGCUCAGCCCCCUCCUGGGUGGGAACGCCUUUUAAGAAUACGAGGUGAAGGAGGCACCAGGUUUGCUGAUGUGUAUGUGUCUUGCAUUCCUUCCCUCCUCCUUUUGCCGUUAGUAGGUCUUAAAAAGUGUAUAUGAUUCUUCCCUUUUAAGCUAGGACAAAUACAGCCUAAUUAAUAUUUCUCUUGUCAUGAUGAUUUUUACAGGUAUUAUGUUUCGCCAUCGGGCAAAAGACUUCGUUCCAUGAUUGAAAUUCAAAAGUAAAAUUACAAAAUCUUGAAUCUGUAUUUUCUUUUCAUAUUCCUCGCGGUUUUUGCUCAAUGCGUUCUCUUCCCAGGUACUUGCAGGAACACCCGGAGUAUGUAGAAGAAGGUGUAAGUAUGUCCCGGUUUUCAUUUCAGAUCCCAAGACCUCUGCAGGAAAACUAUGUUAGGAAGCGGCCUUAUCGUCCAGCACUUGCAGAUGAUGAAGAUGAUCCUGGUAUGUCACGACCUUUUGAACCUCCAUAAACAUGGUUCUUUAAGCAUGCUGAAGUUAAAAAACUCUAGCAUUUGUGAUUGAAGCUAGUUGCAUGAAUAUAGUUCAUGCUGGAAAAUGAGGAAAUAAAGUUAACAGGUGCUAUUUGGUUCUUUCUCCCCCUCUAAGACUGCUAAAGGUGAACAAUGAAAGAAUUACUCUCAAGUUAUGAACUGUUCCGACUGGAGUAAGUGGAAGCUUGCCCUAGGGAUAAUGAAUCUAUCUGAACAUACACGUUAUAAAUGAAUCACUAUGUGGAGCAUUUAGCCGUCUUAGGCUAUAAGUACUUGAUUGAUGGAUUUUCCGUCACUACUCGCUGUCUAUUAUAACUACUCACCUCCUAUCAUACUGUGAAGUGUUCAUAAGCAUAGAUCAGUUCAUGUUGAUUGGUGUGAUUCCAUUAAGUUUCUAAAUUGUGUGAACUUGAGACGUCUGCUGGAUAUGAAGAUCUAUGUUUAUAUCUUCGCUCCUGAACGGUUAUUCAUCUGGUUGUCCCAUCACCUUAGUCUAAUUAUUACCUGAGCUUGUAAUAGGCAUUGUUUUCUACAAAAGAAUCAGACUUUGUACUCCGCACUGAUUGAAGCGUAUUUGUGGCUAUGGCAGCUAAACGCAUAGCAUGGAUUGGUUCAGAUGGUACUACAGAUUUACGGCUUGGUAUGCCAGGGCUGUCUGCACCUAUUGACCGGGCCCCUCUUUUUGAACCUGUGAGCCAAUCAUUCAAGAAGAAGCGGACUCCAUCUAAACGAAUGAGCAACACUGAUGCAGCGUGCAAGUCAAGUUAGAAGAGUCUCGUCUACUUUUAUUUGUAUACGAUCUGGUGAGAUAGAUCUCUGUGAGUUCAUUUUGUGUAAGCUGACAUUGAGCAACCUGCACAUGGACUUGUACGUACGGAAACGUUACUAGCUAUAUGGCUUUUACCAAGCAUUGCUACUUCCGUGAAGGUCAUAUCUUUUGUUGUUUCGGUUGAGUGUAGAUAUGAAUGGAACGAGGUAAUGUAAAGAACAACUGUUCUAUCUUAGUUUUAGUUGAAAUGUUUAAUUCUGUUAAGGUAAAAGCGAAUGCUUACCGUAAAAAACUUAGCUAGCGUUUGGCCACAGAUUUCCAAAUUUCUGUUGCAAAAUUUGAUUUUGAUGAAGUUUGGUUUGAAGAUGAAAAUGUGUUUGGACACUUCAAAAUAUAUCUUCCAAAUUUAUUUUGGAAAAACAUGAAACAUGACUUGUACCCACAAACAGUACCAUUAUCAAUAACAUUCAUUAUAUUAUCGCAAAUUAUAGUCCUGAACAUAAAUAAAUUUGGUACAAAAUUAUCAUUUUUAUAAUGAACUACAUGAUACACUAUAAUAUGACUGAAAAGACGAAGCAACAUUAUUACGAAAUAAUAAAUGGUUGGCUUUUUUAUACAUACAAAAAUUUGGGGUAAUAUUUAAAAAAUAUAAUUGUAAUAUUUUGGCCCAAAACCAGUUAUUGAGUUGGUGUGAUUUGGGAUUUGGGAUUUUGUGAAAAUGUAGGUAAAUUCUAUGGCCAAACAUGUGUUUGCUAAAUAAAAUCCAAAAUUUAAGAGUGAUGACAAACUCUGUGCUUUUUUACUUACUUGGAUCAAGUAAGAACUCAGCUUAACCAUCAAUACAAAGAUAAGAAAAUUCACUUAUCAUCCUGGACCAGGUUAAUUAGGCUAUAAAUAUCACUUAUUCAGAAUAUGUAAAGCACAAUAUAUCUUCCCCUUUUGACAUCAUCGAAAAGUUACAUACAAAGUGUGAGUCCCAGAUUUCAAUAAGUGCUCAUGGCCACUGAGGUAACUGCAAGUACAAUCAUGGAUUAAUCAUCAGUAAUCAAGCAAAUAUAUUUAAACUAUCAAGGAAAUAUUUACAUUUAUCAAGAGCAACAACAACAAUAACAACAACCCAGUAUAAUCCCACUUAGUGGGGUCUGGGGAGGGUAGUAUNNNNNNNNNNNNNNNNNNNNNNNNNNNNNNNNNNNNNNNNNNNNNNNNNNNNNNNNNNNNNNNNNNNNNNNNNNNNNNNNNNNNNNNNNNNNNNNNNNNNNNNNNNNNNNNNNNNNNNNNNNNNNNNNNNNNNNNNNNNNNNNNNNNNNNNNNNNNNNNNNNNNNNNNNNNNNNNNNCCAAGAACUUCCCACUUUGCUCUUGGGGAGACUCGAACUCACAACCUCUCGAUUGGAAGUGGGGGUUGCUUACUAUCAGAGCAACCCCUCUUGUCUAACAUUUAUCAAGAGCAAAAACAGUAAAUAUUAUUAAUAGAAGAUAUGCUGCUACUACAAUCCACAAUCAGAAAGCAAAAAUAUUCAAAACACGAGCAAAAAGAAAGAAAAAUCCCUAAUCCGGCUCACUGAAAGUACUAUACAGGUUCAGGAGAUAAAGGCUAGAAUUCCCGAGGCUUGGGAGAGCUAGAGGGUUAGUUUUGGGCUUGGAGAAGAUUCAACAUAUUUUGAAGAAUUCCAUCAUUCUUCUCCUUUUCCUAAGCUCAGUUCUAAGAGCAUCCCUCUCAGAUUCCACCUCUGCCACACGAGCCUUUAGCCUAGCUAUCUCAACAUCCUUGGCUUCAUUUUCCUGAAUAAGAGCCCUGACUUUACUUUUGAUAGGAGUCUUCUUGGAUGAACCAGGUUCAUUUGAGAUGGAAAUGACUAAAUAGUCAUAUGCAAGCAGAGUAUUAAUGCCAAAGUAGUCCUUGCUUGAGGCCAUUUUUCAUUUCUUCACAGGCACAUUGCACCUAUCCUGAACUGUAGUCAGAAUAAAGCCAUACGGGGUAGCAUGAGCCUUGGAGCCAUUUAUGACCCUGUCCAGUAACUUGAUUAUGAAUACAUGCUAGUUAAUUUGCCCUCCACUUUCAAGGCCCAUCAGAACUAAGUCCAUAUAAUUUGCAAUAUGCCUUCUCUCCUGCUUUGACAGAAGGCAUUUGUUGACAAACUCAAAGAAGACUUUGCGAUGUGACUUCAUUUCACUCUUGUGCACAAACUUGGCCUCAUUCACUCAAUCUAUGACCAAACGGCUCCUUAAAGUAUAACUGGCUGCUCAUGGCAUUUUCACGUUUAGAUUCUUUCUGUUUUUUAUACUAUGUUUGACGCCCCAUAACAUAAUCUGUGGCAUAUGGUUUGGAAGAGAAAAUAAAAUGAAAAAUAAUCGACUGUCUAACUCAAAUACACAUACCGUUUUUCAAAAUUUCCCAAAUUUGCUGGGUACACAUCACAGCUUCUUAAAAUAUACUCGAUAAUUUCCAACAAAGAUUGAAGGAGAAAGUAUUUACACUCUGAAAUAUCAAGCCACGUGGAAUUACAUAAAGGAAAUGAGAGAUUUUGGGUUAAUUUUCUCGCGCAAAGCAUCAUUCUAUUGCCUUAAUACCUAUGCUAGAGCAGAUUACAUAAUAUUACGUUUCCUCUUUGCAAAUUGUUAAUUGACUUACUUGGAAAUACGCACCUGUUAGGCGUACUUUUAUAUAUAAGGAAAAUGACACUCUAUCACCGCUCUCAAAAUAUAUAUAUAUGAUUCUCAACUUCGACGAAACUCCUUUCCGAAUUAUACAUCUAGAAUUUUGUCAGCUGUAGGGGCAUUUACUGUGCAGUGCGCUAAUUGCUUCAAGUGGAGGCUCAUACCUACAAAGGAGAAGUAUGAAGAGAUUAGGGAACACAUAUUGGAACAGCCUUUCUACUGUGAAUCAGCCCGUGAAUGGCGUGCUGGGGUAUCAUGUGAAGAUCCACCUGAUCUUACUCAAGAUGGAAGUAGGCUCUGGGCUAUUGAUAAGCCUAAUAUUGCUCAGCCCCCUCCUGGGUGGGAACGCCUUUUAAGAAUACGAGGUGAAGGAGGCACCAGGUUUGCUGAUGUGUAUGUGUCUUGCAUU